CCUACGGGAGGCAGCAGUGAGGAAUAUUGGUCAAUGGACGCAAGUCUGAACCAGCCAUGCCGCGUGCAGGAAGACGGCUCUAUGAGUUGUAAACUGCUUUUGUACGAGGGUAAACGCAGAUACGCGUAUCUGUCUGAAAGUAUCGUACGAAUAAGGAUCGGCUAACUCCGUGCCAGCAGCCGCGGUAAUACGGAGGAUUCAAGCGCUAUCCGGAUUUAUUGGGUUUAAAGGGUGCGUAGGCGGUCGGAUAAGUUAGAGGUGAAAUCCCGAGGCUCAACUUCGGAAUUGCCUCUGAUACUGUUCGGCGAGAGAGUAGUUGCGGUAGGCGGAAUGUAUGGUGUAGCGGUGAAAUGCUUAGAGAUCAUACAGAACACCGAUUGCGAAGGCAGCUUACCAAGCUACUUCUGACGUUGAGGCACGAAAGCGUGGGGAGCAAACAGGAUUAGAUACCCCAGUAGUC
This 460-nucleotide ribosomal RNA is filed under the name uncultured bacterium. RNAcentral describes it as "partial 16S ribosomal RNA". It matches the Rfam family "Bacterial small subunit ribosomal RNA", at positions 338 to 795 of the family's 1533-position model. The record is from RNAcentral.